RNAcentral lists this ribosomal RNA (503 nucleotides) under uncultured bacterium. RNAcentral's name for it is "partial 16S ribosomal RNA". It matches the Rfam family "Bacterial small subunit ribosomal RNA", at positions 30 to 523 of the family's 1533-position model. The record is from RNAcentral.
AUUGAACGCUGGCGGCAGGCUUAACACAUGCAAGUCGAGCGGGGUGAUGGUGCUUGCACUAUCACUUAGCGGCGGACGGGUGAGUAAUGCUUAGGAAUCUGCCUAUUAGUGGGGGACAACAUCUCGAAAGGGAUGCUAAUACCGCAUACGUCCUACGGGAGAAAGCAGGGGAUCACUUGUGACCUUGCGCUAAUAGAUGAGCCUAAGUCGGAUUAGCUAGUUGGUGGGGUAAAGGCCUACCAAGGCGACGAUCUGUAGCGGGUCUGAGAGGAUGAUCCGCCACACUGGGACUGAGACACGGCCCAGACUCCUACGGGAGGCAGCAGUGGGGAAUAUUGGACAAUGGGGGGAACCCUGAUCCAGCCAUGCCGCGUGCGUGAAGAAGGCCUUAUGGUUGUAAAGCACUUUAAGCGAGGAGGAGGCUCUUUUGGUUAAUACCCAAGAUGAGUGGACGUUACUCGCAGAAUAAGCACCGGCUAACUCUGUGCCAGCAGCAGCCGCCG